CGAUAUUCCUGUACUGCAGUAUAACAGAACUGUGGGGACACGUAAGGAGAGCGGGAGCCGGGAAUGGAAAGCCCGGUACAAGCGAGGUACCAGUACGGUAGGAAAAUCCGCCGUGCAAUGGGAAGACGUGAUGUGGAGUGAAAUAUAGUAACGAGGCCCGUGAGCCAUGCGUCAAGAAUAGCCGCUAUUGUUUAUACUGUACCCGUACCGUAAACCGACACAGGUGGAUGAGGAGAGAAUCCUAAGGCCGGCGGAAGAAGUAUUGCCAAGGAACUCGGCAAAAUGGCCCCGUAACUUAGGGAGAAGGGGUGCCUGCGAGAGCAGGCCGCAGAGAAUAGGCUCAAGCAACUGUUUAGCAAAAACACAGGUCUAUGCGAAACCGAAAGGUGAGGUAUAUGGGCUGACGCCUGCCCGGUGCUGGAAGGUUAAGAGGAGAGGUUAGACGCAAGUCGAAGCUUUGAAUUUAAGCCCCAGUAAACGGCGGCCGUAACGAUAACGGUCCUAAGGUAGCGAAAUUCCUUGUCGGGUAAGUUCCGACCCGCACGAAAGGCGUAAUGAUUUGAGCGCUGUCUCGGCAAUACAUCCGGUGAAAUUGAAGUGCCAGUGAAGAUGCUGGCUACCCGCGCCAGGACGGAAAGACCCCAUGGAGCUUUACUCCAGUUUGGCACUGGGGUCCGGUGUUGCAUGUACAGGAUAGGUGGGAGGCUGAGAGAUAGUGACGUCAGUUGCUAUGGAGCCGCUGUUGGGAUACCGCCCUUGUGAUAUUGGGCUUCUAACCAGCCGCCGUGAACCGGCGGUGGGACAAUGCCCGGCGGGGAGUUUGACUGGGGCGGUCGCCUCCGAAAGGGUAUCGGAGGCGCCCAAAGGUUCCCUCAGAAUGGACGGAAACCAUUCGAAGAGUGCAAAGGCAGAAGGGAGCUUGACUGCGACACCGACGGGUGGAGCAGGUACGAAAGUAGGGCUUAGUGAUCCGGUGGUAUUAAGUGGGAAUGCCAUCGCUCAACGGAUAAAAGCUACCCUGGGAUACCAGGCUUAUCACUCCCAAGAGUUCACAUCGACGGAGUGGUUUGGCACCUCGAUGUCGGCUCAUCGCAUCCUGGGGCUGUAGUAGGUCCCAAGGGUUGGGCUGUUCGCCCAUUAAAGCGGUACGCGAGCUGGGUUCAGAACGUCGUGAGACAGUUCGGUCCCUAUCCGGCGUGGGCGCAGGAUAUCUGAGAGGAGCUGUCCUUAGUACGAGAGGACCGGGAUGGACGGACCGCUGGUGGACCGGUUGGCUUGCCAAAGCCAUGGCCGGGUAGCCAAGUCCGGAAGGGAUAAACGCUGAAGGCAUCUAAGCGUGAAGCCCCCCUCAAGAUGAGAUAUCCCAUUCUUUAAGAAGUAAACCCCCUUGAAGACGACGAGGUAGAUAGGGCAGAGGUGGAAGUGUGGUAACACAUGGAGCUGACUGUUACUAAUCGGGUGAGGGCUUGACC
This 1472-nucleotide ribosomal RNA is filed under the name metagenome. RNAcentral's name for it is "bacterial LSU rRNA". It matches the Rfam family "Bacterial large subunit ribosomal RNA", at positions 1431 to 2925 of the family's 2925-position model. The record is from RNAcentral.